RNAcentral lists this ribosomal RNA (875 nucleotides) under Striatibotrys neoeucylindrosporus. RNAcentral describes it as "Striatibotrys sp. NPS-2020a partial large subunit ribosomal RNA". It matches the Rfam family "Eukaryotic large subunit ribosomal RNA", at positions 37 to 949 of the family's 3401-position model. The record is from RNAcentral. Lineage: Eukaryota; Fungi; Ascomycota; Sordariomycetes; Hypocreales; Stachybotryaceae.
AGCAUAUCAAUAAGCGGAGGAAAAGAAACCAACAGGGAUUGCCUCAGUAACGGCGAGUGAAGCGGCAACAGCUCAAAUUUGAAAUCUGGCCCCAGGCCCGAGUUGUAAUUUGCAGAGGAUGCUUUUGGCGCGGUGCCUUCCGAGUUCCCUGGAACGGGACGCCAUAGAGGGUGAGAGCCCCGUCUGGUUGGACACCAAGCCUUUGUAAAGCUCCUUCGACGAGUCGAGUAGUUUGGGAAUGCUGCUCUAAAUGGGAGGUACAUGUCUUCUAAAGCUAAAUACCGGCCAGAGACCGAUAGCGCACAAGUAGAGUGAUCGAAAGAUGAAAAGCACUUUGGAAAGAGAGUUAAACAGCACGUGAAAUUGUUAAAAGGGAAGCGUUUAUGACCAGACGUGGGCCGGUUAAUCAUCCAGCGUUCUCGCUGGUGCACUUUGCCGGUCCAGGCCAGCAUCAGUUCGUUGCGGGGGAUAAAGGCUUUGGGAAUGUAGCUCCUCGGAGUGUUAUAGCCCUCUGCGUAAUACCCUGCGGCGGACUGAGGUUCGCGCUCUGCAAGGAUGCUGGCGUAAUGGUCAUCAACGACCCGUCUUGAAACACGGACCAAGGAGUCGUCUUCGUAUGCGAGUGUUCGGGUGUAAAACCCCUACGCGAAAUGAAAGUGAACGCAGGUGAGAGCUUCGGCGCAUCAUCGACCGAUCCUGAUGUUCUCGGAUGGAUUUGAGUAAGAGCAUACGGGGCCGGACCCGAAAGAAGGUGAACUAUGCCUGUAUAGGGUGAAGCCAGAGGAAACUCUGGUGGAGGCUCGCAGCGGUUCUGACGUGCAAAUCGAUCGUCAAAUAUGGGCAUGGGGGCGAAAGACUAAUCGAACCUUCUAGUA